Molecule: long non-coding RNA, 1706 nt
Filed under: Homo sapiens (human)
Lineage: Eukaryota; Metazoa; Chordata; Mammalia; Primates; Hominidae
Description: Pvt1 oncogene
Rfam family: Pvt1 oncogene conserved region 4 (bases 1287-1455)
Source: RNAcentral
GAGACUUUCUCAGUUUUUGCAUCGCAUGUGAGGGUUUGUUGGGUGCUCCUAAACCCUCAUCAUGGUCAUUCUUCUUGGCUGGGCUGUUGAUUUAAUUAGGUUUGCCUUCUCUUGCUAACGUGCUCUUAUUUAUGCCAGUGUUUGUGGUUCUGGGUGUAGACUUUCAGGAAGCACAGCCAUGAAGCUGCAUGCGUCUGUGUGUGGAUGCCUCAUGCCUUUUCCUGGUGGUUUGCAGGCAUGGAAGAUUCUUCUGUUCAUCUAAGCUCCUGACUUUAGGCCCUUCUAGAACAUUAGAGAGGAGAAGAAAUCACGUGCAAGGAUUUAGGGACAAGAGGAUGAGGUUUUGGUGUUUCCUUUCUGGUAUUAGGUUUUCCAGAGAGAGGCUGUUAGCCUGUCUCUCGCCCACUCCACCACUGUGAAUCCUGGCUACUGGGGCUAGUUCCUUGCUAGGAAAAAAAAACUCUAGAGAAAUGUGUUUGUGUGUGGUGGGUGGGCGGGGGCCCUGAGGAUGCAGGGACUGUGUCUGCUGUGUUGUCUGUUAUAAGAUGUUUCAGACCUAUUUUGCAUACUGGCAGCGACAAGUUGAGACUUGUUCAACUUGACACAGUCCUGUGGUCAUAGCGAAUCUUUCUAAAGCUCUGAUCAGUCAAGAAGGGGGUUGUAUCAAUCCUCAGAACCCUGAGUGGAACUUUCUACAGGAUUUAUUAGGAGAAAAACCUUCCCGGAAGCUGCAGAAGGACAAAUACAGAAUCCGUGUCUGGGAGAAACCUCGUGGCCUGGUCUCCAUUAUUUGAGAUGAGUUACAUCUUGGAGGUGAGGACGUGCCUCGUGGUCUAAAGCUUCGGCACAAGGGCCCAACUGGAAUUCCACUUACGGGCCUGAUCUUUUGGCCAGAAGGAGAUUAAAAAGAUGCCCCUCAAGAUGGCUGUGCCUGUCAGCUGCAUGGAGCUUCGUUCAAGUAUUUUCUGAGCCUGAUGGAUUUACAGUGAUCUUCAGUGGUCUGGGGAAUAACGCUGGUGGAACCAUGCACUGGAAUGACACACGCCCGGCACAUUUCAGGAUACUAAAAGUGGUUUUAAGGGAGGCUGUGGCUGAAUGCCUCAUGGAUUCUUACAGCUUGGAUGUCCAUGGGGGACGAAGGACUGCAGCUGGCUGAGAGGGUUGAGAUCUCUGUUUACUUAGAUCUCUGCCAACUUCCUUUGGGUCUCCCUAUGGAAUGUAAGACCCCGACUCUUCCUGGUGAAGCAUCUGAUGCACGUUCCAUCCGGCGCUCAGCUGGGCUUGAGCUGACCAUACUCCCUGGAGCCUUCUCCCGAGGUGCGCGGGUGACCUUGGCACAUACAGCCAUCAUGAUGGUACUUUAAGUGGAGGCUGAAUCAUCUCCCCUUUGAGCUGCUUGGCACGUGGCUCCCUUGGUGUUCCCCUUUUACUGCCAGGACACUGAGAUUUGGAGAGAAUCCUGUUACACCUGGGAUUUAGGCACUUUCAAUCUGAAAAAAUACAUAUCCUUUCAGCACUCUGGACGGACUUGAGAACUGUCCUUACGUGACCUAAAGCUGGAGUAUUUUGAGAUUGGAGAAUUAAGAGUGUGGGCACCCUGGCUUCAAGCUCACGAGAAACCAGGUCGGGAUUUAAACAAUGUUGGGUUAAAGCAAAGUUUCAUAAAGACAGAAUCAAGAAAAAAAGAAAGAGAAACCAAUCUAAGU